Molecule: ribosomal RNA, 464 nt
Filed under: uncultured bacterium
Lineage: Bacteria
Description: bacterial SSU rRNA
Rfam family: Bacterial small subunit ribosomal RNA
Source: RNAcentral
AACGAACGCUGGCGGCGCGCCUAAUACAUGCAAGUCGAGCGAGAAGACGUAGCAAUACGUUUGUAAAGCGGCGAACGGGUGAGGAAUACAUGGGUAACCUACCCUCGAGUGGGGAAUAACUAGCCGAAAGGUUAGCUAAUACCGCGUACGCUUCUUGGACUUCGGUUCAGGGAGGAAAGCGAUACCGUGGGUAUCGCGCUCUUGGAUGGGCUCAUGUCCUAUCAGCUUGUUGGUGAGGAACGGCUCACCAAGGCUUCGACGGGUAGCUGGUCUGAGAGGACGAUCAGCCACACUGGCACUGCGACACGGGCCAGACUCCUACGGGAGGCAGCAGUAAGGAAUAUUGCGCAAUGGGCGAAAGCCUGACGCAGCGACGCCGCGUGGGGGAUGAAGGUCUUCGGAUUGUAAACCCCUUUCGGGAGGGAAGAUGGAACGAGCAAUCGUUCGGACGGUACCUCCAGAAG